ACUGUAGCCAACAUACACAGCAAGGGUCUGAAUGGUUAGAGACCAAAAGAACAAACAAUCAAAUUUAGUAGCCUCACGAUAAAUAGCAGAUGACACCGCAGGUCAAAAGAUCACUCAUACUACUACAGCAAUGAGAUAACUACAGACAAGUGAGUAGACAUCCAAGUGGUUUCUCGUGUUGGUCAUGCUCAGUGCAAGUUGUUCUUUAAUAACCACCUAUACUCUUACCUCAGUGUCCCUGCACUAC
RNAcentral lists this long non-coding RNA (247 nucleotides) under Elaeis guineensis (African oil palm). RNAcentral describes it as "long non-coding RNA (EGUI_LNC042422)". Lineage: Eukaryota; Viridiplantae; Streptophyta; Magnoliopsida; Arecales; Arecaceae. The record is from RNAcentral.